UUAAGGUGAUGGCUUCAGCCGUUUUGGUGAGUUAAUCGGUUUUCCUGGUCUCUCCCAUGGAGACAUGUUAUUAAACUUCUGUUUGAUUUUCUCCUGUUAAUCUGUCUCAUGUCAAUUUAAUUCUUGGACCAGCCAGAAGAAUCUAGAAGAGUAGAGGAAAAUUCCUUCCUCCCCAACACUGAGUAAUAAAUACUUCCCUUUCUCUUUAUGACUAUAGUUGAGGAGAAUAUGACACCUGUGUUUCCCAAACUUGAGAAUGUACAGAGCACUUCUCAAAGGAAAAAAGAAAAAGCCUCUUGGACCAUUUUAUUUAAUAAUUGUUUUAGGAAGAGAUUAGGAGAUAGACAUGCAAAGAGGAAAGACCAUGUGAGGACAGAGGGAGAAGGCGGCCAUCUGCAAGACAAUGAGAGAGGCCUCAGAAGAAACCACCCCUGCACACACCUUGAUCUGGGACUUCCAGCCUCCAGAACUGUGAGAAAGGUGUUGCCCUUAUAUGAAUGAUCCCAAAUGGCUCCCUACCUCCAUGAUCCAGAAACCUGUCACAUGGAUAAAUGAUACUUUAUUUAACAAGAUUCAUCCAGAAAGGCCAGAGAAGCUAAGCCACUUGCACUCCCACCAGCACGGAUGAGCCACAUGACCAGCCCUGAAAAAGGAUGUUCUUAGAGGAGUAUUUCCAUAGAAACUUGGGGUGAGGGUGGGGGAGGGAAUGUAGAGUCAUAAAAUUGAAGAAUCUAAAUUGUUUUCCUUGUUUUCCUCCAUGCACAAACAGCGGCAGCAGAGGGAGAGAAGGAAAAGAGUUGUGAAAAAUGGCAAAGGCCAUCUGAAUGUAUUGUUCUUAUGAGAACCUAUCUGUGAGGUAUGAAACCUAUUCGGAGCGAGUAGCCAAUUCAUCCCUCAUCGGCAUAUCAGGAAGGAUUUAAAGUGCAGAGAUGCCAUGAACCAGCUUAAAAAAUGAAAAGAACCAAAGCACAGAGGGCUGCGUAUCCAGACUCACUCACCCAGUAAAUGGAUAUCUUCACUGGUAAUAGAUUUUGUUCAAGAUGCCACCCCACCGCCUUUUCUGAGAACUGCUCUCCCACCUGGCCCAUGAGCGUUGGCACCUAGCAACUAUGGCUGUACCCCUGCUGUGCUGAUUAGACUGGCUGGCUCAAGCUAGGUUGGCUAGAGAUUUUCCUGAAGAUAGUAAGUUGGUCUUUCACAUAAGCUGGUAUCUCUUUGGUUUCGAGGAAUAGAAAACUUGACUUACACCAUCUGAGGCAUAAAGGUAUUUUGUUGACUCAUAUACCCAAACUGUUCGAGGAGAGACUUGGACUCUUGGAGUGAUUUGAUGGAGGACUCAAAAAUGAUGUCAUCCAAGUCUUGGCUUCCUUUCCUUCGAGUUGGCUCAACCCUCUAGCUGGCUUCCCUCACGGUCGCAGGUUACAGCAGCCCCAAACUCACAUUCUCACUCAGACACGGAGAAGAGUGACACUGUGUCCUAGCUUUCUAGACAAAUCUUCCCUGGAUUCACUCUAACUGCAGCUACUUAGGCCUGUGUCUUUCCCUGAACCAAUCACUAGCCAUGGAAAUGGAAGCCACUGGUUGACUGAAGCCAAUUUGGGUUUCCCUCUAGAGUGGAGAGCAAAGGCUGGCACAAGGGAGGGAGCGGAAAACGGAGAAAGUCAACUUCUCAGCACCCACAGAGCAAAGUGCUGACCCAGCCAGCGAGGGGCACUGGGACCAGAGCUGACUCCGGAGCAGCUGGCGAUGCGCAGGGCCCAUUCAUCAUGCAGCUUCCUGAGCGGCAGCUAGAGUUAGCAUCCUCAAAUAUGAAAAUAAUUGGUGCUCAGUAAUAAAGGCUGUGAGUACAUGUGGGCAAGAGAACGAGAUUUCGCUGGAAUGACAGAUGGAGUCAUGGUUCCAGGAAGCAGCAGCUCCAUUCAGAAUUGCCAAAAUUUGGAAGCAAAGAAGAUGUCCCUCAGUGGGUGAAUGGAUAAUUAACCUGUGGUAUAUCCAAACAUGGAAAUUUACUCAGCACUAAAAAGAAAUGAGCUAUCAACUCAUGAAGAGACAUGGAGAAACCUAAAAUGUGUAUUACUAAGUAAAAGAAGCCAAUCCAGAAAGACCACAUACUAUAUGAUUCCAACUGUAUGAUAUUCUGGAAAAGCUGUUCUUAGAAACUUGUGGAGACAUAGCAGAAGUUUACACAGUCUUAGAUUAAUUCCAUAACCUGUGUAAAAAAUUAACUGCCUCAGAGAUAGACCUAACAUUCUAAAAGGAAAUGCAUGGAGUCUGCACAAACAACCACAGAAAAAUAAACGUUACAUUCAAAAAAUCAAGAAAAGCAUUUGAAGAAUAAAAUUACAAAUUUAAUAAACUGCACAGUGGCUUCUUGAAGGACAAGCAUGUGUCUUCCAAAGAGGUCUGCAUUCCCAGAGGCUUUGACACACAUUACGAAUUGCCAAGGCAGGGAUCAGACAUGCCAUGAGCAUUUGCAAACAUGUUUGAUACAGGGCCCUUCUUGACUAAAGAAUCUCAUGACAACACCCUUGGGAGAAUGCUGGUCAAAAACACCAUCAUUUACUACCUCAGAUGAAGAUCUUGACCCCCAUGACACAGGAGGAAGCUGAUAUCAUAUGCUUCUCUACUCAAGACCCAAAAAGUAUAAAAAUUGAAUUCCACACUGUUUCUUUCAAAGAGGCUCUGGUCAGGGGCAUGAGAAAUACUGGAAUAAGAGUUAAUAGUCUGAAUGGAUAAAGAAGAUGUGGUAUAGAUACAUACAAUGGAAUACUACUCAGCCAUAGAAAAAGAAUGAAUUAAUGCUUUUUGCAGCAACAUGGAUGGACCUAGAGAUUAUCACACUAAGUGAAAGGUUUGAACUCACUGGGAAGGAGAGGGCGGAGGAAAAGAAAAAUUGGAUGUGAAGGCCAAUAUUUUCAGGAGGACAAGGUUAAAGCCUACAUCCCUUAAAAUCGGAAGUACUGAGCCUCCUGGAAAUUGCGACUGCUUAACUUCUCUGUUCUACAGAUGGCCGUCAUCCCCAUGCUGAUAGGACACAGGAAGCAAGGCAACACAAAGUUGCCUUAAUGAUAGGUCUUUGUGGUGACUGGAUCCAGGAAGAGAAGGAAAUGAGACGUAGUUUACAGCAACAUCACAGUGUUGGGCCAGACCCUGCCUGGGCAUCUGUGCCUGUGUCGGGAAGCAUGGGGCCUCAGCCAUGACCCAGCAGGUCAGUCCGGUGCAGAGUUGUUCUUUGUUCUGCUCUUCUCUAAUCUCACUAAACUCUGCCACAAGUAUGAAAUGAAAAGUUUGAAAUGAAACAAGUAUUAUGUGGACACAUGUUAGAAGCCUCCUGAGAUAUAUUCCUUGGUUUUAGAAGCUCUAGGAUUCUCUGACCCUUGGGAAUUUUCUGCAGCAGCAGUGUCUACAUUGGGCAGCACAAAAUAUGACCACACAGUGUAGGAAAAGCGUCCUAAUAGAGGGAAAAUAAAUGAAGAAAAAGCCCAUGUGUCCUCUGCUAUAGUCACUCAUCACAAACAGAAAGGUCCUUCUGUGAGCCUGGCACCAAGCUGAACCAAAAUGGCACAGACAUGGCCGUGUCUUUCUUUGAAGGGUUAACAAGGGGGGAUACUCUUAUUUAGAUAGGGAACAGCACUUUCUUGGGAAGUCCCUUGGCCAAUAAUACACUUGAUUUGACCUGUGUAGAAGUCAUCUCAUCGCAGCCUGUUUCUAAGGCAUGCCAAAAGUAAGCUGAAAAGUGAACAUGUCAGCUAGUCAAGCAGACUUUUCUAACUCUCUGGAUCCUUAGCAACAUGCACGGCAAACUUCUGUUUAGCCAGUUAGCACAUCUGUCUUGGAGGAAAUAAUGGUGUCUUGCCACCAUAGAUGUUUGAGUCCCUGUGAGUAAAUGGGUAGGAACAACCCAUCCAAACUCAUCUCACAUGAGCUGUCUGGAAGGUCAGGCCGGUCUUGCCCUUGAAUUGCAAAGCUAUCUUUGGUCAAAGACUGGCUUUUCGUUCCUAACUCUCGUGUGUUCAGUGGCUCAAGAAAUAUAUGCCGAUGCAAAAGUGAGCAGUGCCAGGCAAUUCAGAUCUCCUUUUCCUGGUCAAGGAGCAGCAACGACAUUGACUUUCUUCUCUAUAGAGCCUUACUCCUCACCAGCUAUGAAUAAUUUUUCCCCCCUACCCACGACAGUCUCUUCCCCUUGCUCCCUCUCAGACUAGCCUCUCAAAGGACAGAAUCCAUAUCCUGUUGCCUUGUUCUCCCAUGACUGCCUGGGUACUGUGCACAUAGGAGGUGAUUUAUAGAUAUUGACUGAGUGAAUGAUGUUCUUUUAAGAAACCACAUAGACUUUUCCAUGCUAAGUCAGACCAGCCUGCUCCAGGUCCUUUGCUCUUCUUCUUUAGAUCACUUUAGUUUCCUCUUUUUAUCUGUCACCGCCUUUUCUGCCCCUUGAAGUUCUUCUUCAUGCAAGUUAGACUAAGGAGACACAGUGUUCCAGCUCCUCUCUUUCUUUUUGCUCUUGCUAUAGACUGAAUGUUUGUGUCCCCUCAGAAUUCAUAUGCUGAAAACUAAUCCCUAAUGUCAUGUUAUUUGGAGGUUGGGACUUUGGGAGGUGAUUAGGUCAUGAGAGCAGAGCCCUCAUGAAUGAGAUUAAUACCCUUAUAAAAAGAGACCCCAGAUGUAUAUAUGUGUAUAUAUAUAUUUAUUUAUAUACACAAUGAACUAUUACUCAGCCAUAAAAAAGAAUGAAAUAAUGCCAUUUGCAGCAACAUGGAUGGACCUAGAGAUUAUCUUACUAAGUGAAGGAAGUCAGAGAAAGACAAAUAUCAUAAGAUAUCACUUGUAUGUGUAAUUUUUAAAAAAAGAUACAAAUGAACUUAUUUACAAAACAGAAACAGACUUGCAGACAAAGAAAACAAAUUUAUGGUUACCAAAGGGAAAAGGGGUCAAGGAGGGAUAACUAGAUAUCUAUAUUCUAUUUAUGUAUCUGUCAUCUAUCUAUCUAUCUAUCUAUCAUCUAUCUGUCAUCUAUCUAUCUAUAACUGAAUCACUUUUCUGUAUACCUGAAACAUUGUAAAUCAACUAUACUUUAUUAAAAAAAUAAAUGAAGAUGCACACAUUAAAAAAAAAAAAGAGAGACCCCAGAGAGCUCCCUUGUCCUCUCCACCGUGUGAGGACACAGAAAAAAGGUGAUCGUCUAUGAACCAAGAAGCUGCCCUCACCAGACACCCAUUCUGCUGGUGCCUUGACAUUGAACUCCCCAGACUCCAGAAGAAAUAUAUUUCUGUUGUUUAUAAGCCACGUGGUCUAUGGUAUUCUGUUAUAGCAGGUGUAAUGAAUAAGACAGCUCCUGAAAAUAAGCCCUCUCUCCUCAUGAGGUUUUCCCUCCUGAUUAUUGUAGGAAAUCACAUACAAAAAUAAUAAACAAAAUCAUGCAAUGUUCUGAUAGUCCUGUUCUGUAGCUCUAAUGCCUCUGAAGUUGCCAAUGAAAGAACUUGCUGUGUUUAUUGCUGUAACCUGAAUAUAACUAACAUACCACAUGGCCCUGUCUAUGCACAGUAUAGAGUCAAAGAAAGAGCAGUAUGUCAGGGGAAAAUAAUAGAAAGAUGUUUAAAUGUUACUACUCUCAAAGAGAAGGGGUUGGCAAACUGUGGCUCCCAGGCCAAAUCUGGGGUUUUUUAAAAUAGUUUUUUGCUUGUUUGUUUAAAUAAAGUUUU
Long non-coding RNA from Orcinus orca (killer whale), 5699 nucleotides. RefSeq lists it as uncharacterized. The transcript has 12 exons. Lineage: Eukaryota; Metazoa; Chordata; Mammalia; Artiodactyla; Delphinidae. The record is from RefSeq and is a predicted model, not a curated record.